Molecule: long non-coding RNA, 380 nt
Filed under: Carica papaya (papaya)
Lineage: Eukaryota; Viridiplantae; Streptophyta; Magnoliopsida; Brassicales; Caricaceae
Description: long non-coding RNA (CPAP_LNC003023)
Source: RNAcentral
CAAUAUCAGGGACAGUGAUGGUCUCUGCAGUGGUAUGAAAAUGCACAACAUACCCAGACCCUUUCUUUUCGCAGAUGGUCCCAAUCCAUUAACCAUCAUUAUCAAAGGCGUCAACUUUAUUGUCUGGAGAUAAAUUUUCAGCCGGAAAAGGAACCACUGGCGGUAAUCUCUGUCAGAGGUCCUGACCCAUCAUCUUCUAUCAAAUUCUUGUACUCCACAAGGCACGUAGUUUUGCUGAUCUUCAUGGCCACUGUUCCUUCAUAAUAGGAACCCAGGUAACCCUCCUCUCCGCUGCUCACUUCGAUCUCGUCUCCUAUCUUGAAUUUCAUUUUUCUUGAAAAUCUAGGGAAAUUUUUGGAUUUUUUUUUGGAUGAUUUGCU